CAAGUGUAUAAUAAAAUGUAUUGUAAAUAUUGACUUAGGAUACUGUUACAGAUUUAAAAAGAAUUUCCUGCGACUUAUCAGAAUAAUGCAUGUUUUAAAGAAUUCUAGUUUCCAACUACUUUGCUGUUUCUCUGGUGUGUAACAACUUACACAUUAUAUCCAGUACAUAAUCAAAAGAUACAUAAUAAAAGGGCAAUACUUAAACAUCUAAAUGAAGAUCUUCCCCUUGCGCCUUCAUCUUGGCACCUGCUGCUUGCUGCGCUGUCCUCUCUAAAAAAGACAAAGAGAGAGUCCAACCUCCUUGGCUUUUGUCCUUUUAAAGACUCAUUCUUGCUGUCAUAAACUACAAGUCCCAGAAAUCCCUUUCCCUCCCAAAAGUGGUUUAUCACGCCCCAUUUUUCCAGAGAGUUCUGUCUUUACACAGAAUUCCAGCUAAACUGUAACGUUCUGAAAGAAAUGACAGUUAGGGUUGGUUUCUGGGUAGAUUAGACAGGAUGCCUUGGGAAAACACACACUUCCAUGGUUACACCUAGAUGUUAAUUACUCAGGUCUUCUGAUAACAUGCAUAGAAAACUGGUUGGCAGGAGAACUGUUUGAGGGAUGUAAGCGUUUGUUUUAGAGGGGUGUUGUAAAAUACAACUGAAAGCUUUGAUCCUUAUCACACUGUUAUCAAGUAAAUGACCCCAACUUGUGAAACCAGUCACAUACACAGAAUAUUUUAUACAAUAUUGCAAUUUUGCAUAUCAAUUUCUUACACUAGUAGGUAUUGGAUAAAUAGACUAUAUACCCAAAGAAAUGUUUAACAGAAAGUUCAUACACCAAAAAGUGAAAAAAUAUACUUAUUAAACAUGUUCAAACUUCCAAAUAUGGUUAACAGCGAUUCCAUAAUCAGCGGGAAUCUAAAAUAACUAUGACACAAAUACACAUAGUGUAAUCAAUAAAAACAUACAAAAACAAUAGAUUGUAAUAAUCAAACUCACAAGGAUAGAGCACUGAAGAAGACUUUGAUAUAGUCAAAACGCGUUUGCUGUGUAUUGGGACUCGGUCCCAAUUUACUGUGCAGUAGUUUAUACGGUUAGCGUGUAUUCACAGUUACACACUGCUUUAUGCUAGUUCUUUUAUCUUUGAUUUUUUUAUUUUAUUUAUUUUUUUUAGAAAUUUUUGCUGUGCAGAGAUUUACAAACAGCAGAUGACAAAGACGUAAUAAUACGUUACUUAUGUUAAGACAUUUAAAAAGAACGUGCACAAUUUUUUAAAUUAUAAUGACGGGCUAAUAAACAUGCUAUGAAAACAUUUCUAGAUAUGGAUUGUGGUAGAGGCUUAUGCAAGAAUAAAAUACAUCCAAACAGUAGGUCAUUAGCAGUAUGGUUAGUGAUAAUUGGUGUAUAUGUGCGGAGGCUUGUCUCAUUUGGUAAUGUAAGUCAACAAAGUAGCUUUCCCAUAAGUACAAGGUAAAGACCAUGUAGCCUACAGCACUUGAUUAAUGCUAACGAUGGAGUUAAGUAAAGAUAUAUAAGUAAAGUUAAGACAUAUGCCAACUCCUCUAUAUAGGCUCCGAAGAACCUGAGAACUGCGAGAAGAGUGGUCAGAGACAUGUUUCACCCAGCGGGCUCCCAUGCUGAGGUGUUAAUACGUUGAUUGGGAUUAAUUAUUGGCAAACAGGAGGUUAACAUGAGAGCCUAGCAUGAGCUUAAAGGGACACUAUAGUCACCAGAACAACUACAGCUUAUUGAAUUUGUUCUGGUGAGUAGAAUCAUUACCUUCAGGCUUUUUGCUGUAAACACUGUCUUUUCAGAGAAAAUGCAGUGUUUACAUUACAGCUUGGUGAUAACUUCACUGGCCACUCCUCAGAUGACUGUUAGAGAUCCUUCCUGGGUCAUGGCUGCCUACAUUGCAUCAAAACAUCCAGUGUCUCUUCCCUCUGCAUGCAGACACUGAACUUUCCUCAUAGAGAUUCAUUGAUUCAAUUCAUCUCUAUGAGGAUAUGCUGAUUGGCCAGGGCUGUGUUUGAAUCAUGCUGGCUCUGCCUCCUUGCCAGUCUCAGCCAAUCCUUUAGGGAAGCAUUGCGAUUGGAUCAGGCCACCACUUCUGAUGAUGUCAGACAGCUCUUUUUUUCUGACGCAAACAGCAUGCAAAUCUACAGCUUCAGGCUUGAAUACAGUAAGAUCUUGCUAUAGUUAUAGAAGCAUUAAGGACCCUGACCCUAUAGUGAUCCUUUAAAAUACAUGAAGUGAAACAAAAACCGAAAGAAAAGAGAAACAGAAAUAAACAUUAGCAUUGCUCUCUGUUAGAGGUGUAUUACAUGGUGCCAGCUUCAUUCAGCCUAUGCCCUCCAGUGGUCUAGUAUAGUCCUGCUUCAGUCUGCCUACUUGAGGAUGCCAUAGCCACAGUAAUGGCUGUUGUGACCUCCAGGUGGCGUAGCAAGAGAGGUUUGAUGGGAGCUGCAAUCUUGGGAGUCUUGCGGUGUUUCAGCCUCCCAGGCAUACGUGGUAUGUGGACUCUGUCAUGGGUCUUGCACUGUGGUACACAACCUAAUAUGCCUCUGACGCUUCCAUUUCGUCCGCAGGACCGUAGCUAAUAGCACAAAGUGGAUUCCGGAUGGUAACUCCUGGCAUAGGCUGCCAUCUUGCCUCUGCGCAGGGGGAAGGUUCAGGUGGUGGGUCAGGUCAACCCAGAAAUCCUUGUCCAGCUGCGAGGGAACAGCAGCUUGCUCUCCACUGUCGGCCAGGCGGCAGCAUCUGCCAUUUUAGGUGGAAAUUUCUCCAGCAGCCAGGAGUCGAGGGUUAUUAAGGGCCCCCAAAGGUAAGGACCGUUAUAACUCCCCCUGGUCCAAAGGGGGCGGGCCAGUAGCACCGAGGAUCUGACCUGCAGUAAUUGGGCAGGAUAGCGGGGCGGCGGCCAUGUGUCUUAUGAAAAGGAACCAGCCACUUAUGAAAUUAUCCACGCGAUUUCCCAUCCAGCAGCAGCAGGACCCUCUGUUCUCGCGAUCCGCGAGAGCGUUGUCGCGAGUUGCCAUAGCAACCCGCAGCAACGCUCUCGCGGAUCGUGAGAACAGAGGACCCUGCUGCUGCUGGAUGCGAAAUGAGCAUGGAGAGUACUGGGCCCCUCUUCACUGCCCAUCUAAAGCUGUGCCACCAGACCACCAGGACCAGGUAAGUGUCAGGGAGGGGCAACCAUACACACUGCUCACCUUCCCAGUACUUAUUCCACACAACACACACACACACACUGCAUACACUAUAAACACACUGCAUACAUUAUACACACACUGCAUACACUAUACACACACUGCAUACAUUAUACACACACUGCAUACACUAUACACACACUGCAUACAUUAUACACACACUGCAUACAUUAUACACACUGCAUACAUUAUACACACACUGCAUACAUUAUACACACUGCAUACACUAUACACAUACUGCAUACAUUAUACACACACUGCAUACACUAUACACACUACAUACACUAUACACACACUGCAUACAUUAUACACACACUGCAUACACUAUACACACUGCAUAAAUUAUACACACGCUGCAUACACUAUACACCCACUGCAUACACUAUACACACUGCAUACAUUAUACACACACUGCAUACAUUAUACACACACUGCAUACAUUAUACACACUAUACACACUGCAUACACUAUACACACACUGCAUACACUAUACACACACUGCAUACAUUAUACACACUACAUACACUAUACACACACUGCAUACACUACACACACUGCAUACAUUAUACACACACUGCAUACACUAUACACACACUGCAUAAAUUAUACACACACUGCAUACACUAUACACCCACUGCAUACAUUAUACACCCACUGCAUACAUUAUACACACCGCAUACACUAUACACACUGUAUACACUAUACACACACUGCAUACAUUAUACACACUGCAUACACUAUACACACACUGCAUACAUUAUACACACUGCAUACAUUAUACACACACUGCAUCCACUAUACAAACGCACACACUGCAUCCACUACGCAAACACACUGCAUUCACUAUGCAUACACACACUUAUACAUGUGUAUCUGUAUGUCUGUGUAUCUGUAUGUGUAUCUGUUUGUAUGUCUGUGUAUCUGUAUGUGUGCCUGUGUGUCUCUCUCUGUGUGCCUGUAUUUGUCUGUAUCUGUGUAUGACUGUGUUUCUAUGUAACGGCAUGUGUGUACCUAUGUGUCUGUGUAUCUGUAUGUGUGCCAGUGUGUGUAUAUGUGAGUAUGUGUAUAUGUGCAUACAUCUCAGCAUUUCAUCUACACUACACACAAAUACAACCCUGCAUCUAAAUGUCAACACUACAUAAAAACACACCAUCAUAUUCAAAAACCACACUACAGAAAAAUGCAAGCCUGCAUUCAAAUGCCAAUUUGUGCAAACACACCCGUACAUUCACUCACACAUACUCCAUACAAAAACAUGCUUACAUUAAAAAU
Molecule: long non-coding RNA, 4459 nt
Filed under: Pelobates cultripes (western spadefoot toad)
Lineage: Eukaryota; Metazoa; Chordata; Amphibia; Anura; Pelobatidae
Source: RNAcentral